UACAGAGGUCUCAAGCGUUGUUCGGAUUCAUUGGGCGUAAAGGGUGUGUAGGUGGCGCGCUAAGUCGGGUGUGAAAUUUCGGAGCUUAACUCCGAAACUGCAUUCGAUACUGGCGUGCUUGAGGACUGGAGAGGAGACUGGAAUUCAUGGUGUAGCAGUGAAAUGCGUAGAGAUCCGGAAGAACACCGGUGGCGAAGGCGGCCUGCUGGGCAGUAGCUGACGCUGAAGCGCGACAGCGUGGGGAGCAAACAGG
Molecule: ribosomal RNA, 253 nt
Filed under: uncultured bacterium
Lineage: Bacteria
Description: partial 16S ribosomal RNA
Rfam family: Bacterial small subunit ribosomal RNA
Source: RNAcentral